UGGCGGACGGGUGAGUAACGCGUGGGUAACCUGCCCUGUACAGGGGGACAACAAUCAGAAAUGACUGCUAAUACCGCAUAAGACCACAGCACCGCAUGGUGCAGGGGUAAAAACUCCGGUGGUACAGGAUGGACCCGCGUCUGAUUAGCUGGUUGGUGAGGUAACGGCUCACCAAGGCGACGAUCAGUAGCCGGCUUGAGAGAGUGAACGGCCACAUUGGGACUGAGACACGGCCCAAACUCCUACGGGAGGCAGCAUG
RNAcentral lists this ribosomal RNA (259 nucleotides) under uncultured bacterium. RNAcentral describes it as "partial 16S ribosomal RNA". It matches the Rfam family "Bacterial small subunit ribosomal RNA", at positions 96 to 353 of the family's 1533-position model. The record is from RNAcentral.